CUUACAGGCUGCCCGGCAUGGCGUACGUCGAGAACGGUCUUGUGAAAUCGAAGCGGUCAAUCUGGCGGUUUAGAACAAUAACAGAUUUCUUUUGGUCGGUUGUGAACUUCAUUGGUGUGUUCUUUAUCACAAUGUUCUCGAUGGACAAAACAAAUGAAUACAAGAAAGGGUCUGGUUCCAGAAAGAAAUGGGACGGUGGUCCUGGCGGUGGUGGAAGUGGGCCGUAUGGCGGCGGUGGCGGUGGAGGCCCCCGUGGGCCUCCCCGGACAUUGGCUGACCUGAGGGCAAAUGAUCACAGUUCUCUUCCUGCAUGUGGAUCCUGCUGCGGUUAAGAUUAAGCUGCAGCUUGCAGGGUCAAGGUCGUGGACUUGGAUAAAUAUAUUUCUCAUCUUGUUUGGAAUAAAUUGACAGAUUGCUUGCUUGGCUUUAUAUAGAUUUGG
This 440-nucleotide unclassified non-coding RNA is filed under the name Hevea brasiliensis (rubber tree). The record is from RNAcentral. Lineage: Eukaryota; Viridiplantae; Streptophyta; Magnoliopsida; Malpighiales; Euphorbiaceae.